Molecule: long non-coding RNA, 241 nt
Organism: Ipomoea nil (Japanese morning glory)
Lineage: Eukaryota; Viridiplantae; Streptophyta; Magnoliopsida; Solanales; Convolvulaceae
Exons: 2
Source: RefSeq, a predicted model, not a curated record
UUUUGAAUUUGCUCUGUUUAUGUGCAGCCUGCUGUGUUUUUUGUGAAAUUAAAUUUAGGGGUAAGAUAAACUGGCGAGAUGGCUUACCUGUUAAGCUUACCUUCUAAAUCGUACUGGUAACAUUACUGGAUCAAUCUAAAAUACUAAAGAUGUUACUUUAUCCACCAUCCAACUCUAAUUUUUGUUUCUACUAAAGCUGCUUUACUUGAUAUUAGUACCAUUUAACUUUUCUGAGUGAUUA